GCUCGUAGGUCGAUGAAGAACGCAGCCAACUGCGAUAAGUAGUGUGAACUGCAGAAACCUUGAACACAGAACAUUCGAAUGCACAUUGCGCCAUUGGAGUGACAUCCUUUGGCACGCCUGGUUCAGGGUCGUAAUCAAAAAGCGCACAGCGAAUG
Molecule: ribosomal RNA, 155 nt
Filed under: Rotylenchus arasbaranensis
Lineage: Eukaryota; Metazoa; Nematoda; Chromadorea; Rhabditida; Hoplolaimidae
Description: 5.8S ribosomal RNA
Rfam family: 5.8S ribosomal RNA (bases 1-131)
About the family: 5.8S ribosomal RNA (5.8S rRNA) is a component of the large subunit of the eukaryotic ribosome.
Source: RNAcentral